Molecule: transfer RNA, 20 nt
Filed under: Anolis monensis
Lineage: Eukaryota; Metazoa; Chordata; Lepidosauria; Squamata; Anolidae
Description: partial tRNA-Ala
Source: RNAcentral
AAAACAUUAAUUUACAUCUC